Molecule: ribosomal RNA, 497 nt
Filed under: uncultured bacterium
Lineage: Bacteria
Description: partial 16S ribosomal RNA
Rfam family: Bacterial small subunit ribosomal RNA
Source: RNAcentral
GAUGAACGCUGGCGGCGUGCCUAAUACAUGCAAGUCGAGCGAACAGAUGAGGAGCUUGCUCCUCUGACGUUAGCGGCGGACGGGUGAGUAACACGUGGAUAACCUACCUAUAAGACUGGGAUAACUUCGGGAAACCGGAGCUAAUACCGGAUAAUAUAUUGAACCGCAUGGUUCAAUAGUGAAAGACGGUUUUGCUGUCACUUAUAGAUGGAUCCGCGCCGCAUUAGCUAGUUGGUAAGGUAACGGCUUACCAAGGCAACGAUGCGUAGCCGACCUGAGAGGGUGAUCGGCCACACGGGAACUGAGACACGGUCCAGACUCCUACGGGAGGCAGCAGUAGGGAAUCUUCCGCGAUGGGCGAAAGCCUGACGGAGCAACACCGCGUGAGUGAUGAAGGUCUUCGGAUCGUAAAACUCUGUUAUUAGGGAAGAACAAAUGUGUAAGUAACUAUGCACGUCUUGACGGUACCUAAUCAGAAAGCCACGGCUAACUACGUG